UAGAAAACAAACCUAAGUCGACACUGUGUAACACAGUGUCCAUUAGUGUAAGUGAGACAACUAAAAUUUUCUCUCUUACACUAAUAGACACUGUGUUACACAGUGUCGACUUGUGUCGAAGCUGGAAAGCACCCAGUGUUUCCAUCGUAAGAAUUCACACUCCAACCCGACUCUGACUCGAUUCGAACCCUCGAUGGAAACUUAAAUAUUGGCCGAUGCUUAAGGUGUAUCCCGACGGAGGAAGAAAAUAGCGGAACUCAGAACAGUUACGGAAAGGAGAUAUAGUGGAAGUCAGCCAAUCAGAGCAAUUCCGUUUUUGUUUUGUUCCGCUUUUCGACGAGUGGGUUCCCCACGUAUAAAGGGUCUCGCACAUGAAAUGCAUAAUAUAACAUAAGCACAACAUAAAUUCGUAUGUACUUGACCGAAGCAAAGCUCCGGAUGAAGAAAUGACUAUUUUAAAUCGUUUGUAUUUCGUUUGAAGAGUUAUGAAGUGCAUUUGAAAAGAUUCCAGGCGCUACUGGUCCUGAAGUACCAGAAGGCGCGUUCGGUGUAAUCUCUAGUAUUUCGAUACUCCUGGUUCUUUCUUGACAGUAAGGUUAAACAAUGUGCAGUAAGUCACAUAUUUCCAAAAUAUCUGGGGGGGCUAUUACGGUUUCUGAAACGAGGUGAAAAUUACAAAAGUGAGCAAAUUCAUUAGUUGUUGAUCAAUAAAGUUAUAGAUAUUCUAGUAAAUUUGUUCACUUUUGUAAUCACGCAGUUAGAACCAUUGAUACAUAUUGCACAAUUGUACUUUUCAUUACUCGGCUGUAUCACUGUUCUUCAUACAAAUAUAUAUAUAUAUAUAUAUAUAUAUAUAUAUAUAUAUAUAUAUAUAUAUAUA
This is a long non-coding RNA of Solenopsis invicta (red fire ant), 880 nucleotides long. RefSeq lists it as uncharacterized. NCBI's taxonomy places the organism in Eukaryota, Metazoa, Arthropoda, Insecta, Hymenoptera, Formicidae. The record is from RefSeq and is a predicted model, not a curated record. The transcript is spliced from 2 exons.